ACAGUUUUCACCAAGAGUAUGGCACUGCACAUUCUACAGCUUAAAGCCUUUGAAGAAAGCACCAGCACUUUCAAGACAAUGGCUGUUUAUGUAAGAUGAAAUCCAAAAUCUCCACACAUUCUCACUCAAGAAGUAUAGUGCAUUUAAAAGUUUUGCAUAUAACCUGCAAAAGUCAACUUGCUGUGCAAGCCAAGGGUUGGCCAUCCCUCAUGUGCGCAUGACUAAUGUGCUUUUUGGUGAUAAUUGUGAUUCAGACUAUUCAAGCCCUCCAUGAUGGCAAUAAACAACCAUGUGUGGAGUGCCUUCUGAAUUCAUCUUAGGUAUGAUGGAAGAUAACAGUUUAUUUUCACAUUCUUUGUUCAAUGAUGAGGCUACGUUCCAUUUAAGUCAAAAAGUGAACCACCAUCACAAAGGAGCACCACUACACUGGCACCAUCUUGUAAGAGUAUUUCAUCGUCCCACAUGCUUCCCCUUCCAACAUCUUUGGGUGAACUACGACGCCACAUAGCAGAAUCAGUGAAUGCAGUAAAUCGAGACAUAUACAUAAAGUAAAGAAUUUGUUUAUCAGCUGGAUGCUUUUCAUGCAUCAGGUGGAGGGCACACUGGAAUUUAUGAAAACUGCUGAUGUGAGAGGGAUGGAAAAUGUUUCUAAAAGAAGAAUAUGGGAGUUAUUGCUGGGAUCUGCACACCAUUUUACACAGAACUUUAUUUGCCAUGGCGGUAAUUAAGGUGUUUACAAUGAGAAUGUUCAAGAAAGAAUUUUAAAUUCACCUUCUACAAUUUUUAGUGAUACAACAGUAUCAAACAGUUAACGGUAAUUAUUCUACCUUAUCUCUUCUGGAGUGUGGAUUCCCUAUAAACCAAGUUGAGUGCAUGUGACCCAGCUCAAAUCUCAAUUCCAUACAGUGGAUGUUAACACACAAUUCUCCGUGUAAAGGCCAAGAAGGAUGUCUUGUUUCCUCUUCACUAAUCCCUAAUCAAACAACUGUGUUGUCUGUGAACUUUGUGAUUGUAGCAUGUGGAACAGCUCUUUUCAGUUAAUUUCAAUUAUGGAAAGUGUGGUAAGAUAUAAUAAUAGGGAAAUAAUUAAAAAAUA
This is a long non-coding RNA of Schistocerca serialis cubense, 1096 nucleotides long. RefSeq lists it as uncharacterized. The record is from RefSeq and is a predicted model, not a curated record. Lineage: Eukaryota; Metazoa; Arthropoda; Insecta; Orthoptera; Acrididae. The transcript has 4 exons.